This 443-nucleotide ribosomal RNA is filed under the name uncultured bacterium. RNAcentral describes it as "partial 16S ribosomal RNA". It matches the Rfam family "Bacterial small subunit ribosomal RNA", at positions 338 to 795 of the family's 1533-position model. The record is from RNAcentral.
CCUACGGGAGGCAGCAGUGGGGAAUAUUGGACAAUGGGGGGAACCCUGAUCCAGCGACGCCGCGUGAGUGAAGAAGUACUUCGGUAUGUAAAGCUCUAUCAGCAGGGAAGAAAGAAAUGACGGUACCUGACUAAGAAGCCCCGGCUAACUACGCGCCAGCAGCCGCGGUAAUACGUAGGGGGCAAGCGUUAUCCGGAUUUACUGGGUGUAAGGGGAGCGUAGACGGCGAAGCAAGUCUGGAGUGAAAGGCGGGGGCCCAACCCCUGGACUGCUUUGGAAACUGGAUGGCUGGAGUGCAGGAGAGGUAUGUGGAAUUCCUGGGGUAGCGGUGAAAUGCGUAGAUAUUAGGAGGAACACCAGUGGCGAAGGCGGCUUACUGGACUGUAACUGACGUUGAGGCUCGAAAGCGUGGGGAGCAAACAGGAUUAGAUACCCGGGUAGUC